This 497-nucleotide ribosomal RNA is filed under the name uncultured bacterium. RNAcentral describes it as "partial 16S ribosomal RNA". It matches the Rfam family "Bacterial small subunit ribosomal RNA", at positions 36 to 507 of the family's 1533-position model. The record is from RNAcentral.
UCUUCCCUCUUUCUUCGUGCCUAAUACAUGCAAGUCGAGCGAACAGACGAGGAGCUUGCUCCUCUGACGUUAGCGGCGGACGGGUGAGUAACACGUGGAUAACCUACCUAUAAGACUGGGAUAACUUCGGGAAACCGGAGCUAAUGCCGGAUAAUAUAUUGAACCGCAUGGUUCAAUAGUGAAAGACGGUUUUGCUGUCACUUAUAGAUGGAUCCGCGCCGCAUUAGCUAGUUGGUAAGGUAACGGCUUACCAAGGCAACGAUGCGUAGCCGACCUGAGAGGGUGAUCGGCCACACUGGAACUGAGACACGGUCCAGACUCCUACGGGAGGCAGCAGUAGGGAAUCUUCCGCAAUGGGCGAAAGCCUGACGGAGCAACGCCGCGUGAGUGAUGAAGGUCUUCGGAUCGUAAAACUCUGUUAUUAGGGAAGAACAAAUGUGUAAGUAACUAUGCACGUCUUGACGGUACCUAAUCAGAAAGCCACGGCUAACUACGUG